AAUAUACUCCCUCCGUCCGAAAAUACUUGUCCUAAAGAUGAAUAAAAUGAAUGUAUCUAUAACUAAAAUAAGUCUACAUACAUGCAUUUCUAGGAAAAGUAUUUCCGGAUGGAGGAAGUAUUAU
Non-coding RNA from Hordeum vulgare subsp. vulgare (domesticated barley), 124 nucleotides. The record is from Rfam. Lineage: Eukaryota; Viridiplantae; Streptophyta; Magnoliopsida; Poales; Poaceae.